AAUGAACGUUGGCGGCGUGGAUUAGGCAUGCAAGUCGUGCGGAAAGGCUCCUUCGGGAGCACUCAAGCGGCGUAAGGGAGAGUAACGCGUGGAUACCUACCCCCUGGACUGGGAUAGCGGCGGGAAACUGACGGUAAUACCAGACAAUGUCUGCGGACCAAAGGCGUGAUUCCGCCGGGGGAUGAGUUCGCGUCCUAUUAGCCAGUUGGUAGGGUAAUGGCCUACUAAGGCAAAGAUGGGUAUCGGGUGUGAGAGCAUGGCCCGGCUCACUGGGACUGAGACACUGCCCAGACACCUACGGGUGGCUGCAGUCGAGAAUCUUCGGCAAUGGGCGCAAGCCUGACCGAGCGACGCCGCGUGCGGGAUGAAGGCCUUCGGGUUGUAAACCGCUGUCAGAGGGGAGGAAAUGCAUGGGAGUUCUCUCUCAUGUUUGACCUAUCCUCAGAGGAAGUAUGGGCUAAGUUCGUGCCAGCCGCCGCGGUAA
Molecule: ribosomal RNA, 484 nt
Filed under: uncultured bacterium
Lineage: Bacteria
Description: partial 16S ribosomal RNA
Rfam family: Bacterial small subunit ribosomal RNA
Source: RNAcentral